This 253-nucleotide ribosomal RNA is filed under the name uncultured bacterium. RNAcentral describes it as "partial 16S ribosomal RNA". It matches the Rfam family "Bacterial small subunit ribosomal RNA", at positions 524 to 776 of the family's 1533-position model. The record is from RNAcentral.
UACGAGUGGUGCGAGCGUUAUUCGGAAUUAUUGGGCGUAAAGGGCGCGUAGGUGGUAUAUUAAGUCAACUGUUAAAUUCUUCGGCCUAACCGGAGACCUGCGGUAGAUACUGAUAUGCUUGAGGAUGGAAGAGAGAAGUGGAAUUCUUGGAGUAGCGGUAAAAUGCGUAGAUCUCAAGAGGAACACCAAUGGCGAAGGCAGCUUCUUGGUCCAUUUCUGACACUGAUGCGCGAAAGCGUGGGGAGCAAACAGG